UACGUAGGUCCCGAGCGUUGUCCGGAUUUAUUGGGCGUAAAGCGAGCGCAGGUGGUUUAUUAAGUCUGGUGUAAAGGGCAGUGGCUCAACCAUUGUAUGCAUUGGAAACUGGUAGACUUGAGUGCAGGAGAGGAGAGUAGAAUUCCAUGUGUAGCGGUGAAAUGCGUAGAUAUAUGGAGGAACACCGGUGGCGAAAGCGGCUCUCUGGCCUGUAACUGACACUGAGGCUCGAAAGCGUGGGGAGCAAACAGG
RNAcentral lists this ribosomal RNA (252 nucleotides) under uncultured bacterium. RNAcentral's name for it is "partial 16S ribosomal RNA". It matches the Rfam family "Bacterial small subunit ribosomal RNA", at positions 524 to 776 of the family's 1533-position model. The record is from RNAcentral.